This is an unclassified non-coding RNA of Cercocebus atys (sooty mangabey), 103 nucleotides long. It matches the Rfam family "Y RNA". Rfam says of the family: Y RNAs are components of the Ro ribonucleoprotein particle (Ro RNP), in association with Ro60 and La proteins. The Y RNAs and Ro60 and La proteins are well conserved, but the function of the Ro RNP is not known. The record is from Ensembl. NCBI's taxonomy places the organism in Eukaryota, Metazoa, Chordata, Mammalia, Primates, Cercopithecidae.
GGCUGGUCCGAAGGUGGUGAGUUAUCUCUGCUGAUUGUUCAGUUACAGAUUAGACUGUUCCACUCUUUCCCCUCUUCCCACUAGUGCACUUGACUAGUCUUUU